UACGGGAGGCAGCAGUAAGGAAUAUUGCGCAAUGGGCGAAAGCCUGACGCAGCGACGCCGCGUGGGGGAUGAAGGUCUUCGGAUUGUAAACCCCUUUCGGGAGGGAAGAUGGAGCGAGCAAUCGUUCGGACGGUACCUCCAGAAGCAGCCACGGCCAACUUCGUGCCAGCAGCCGCGGUAAUACGAAGGUGGCAAGCGUUGUUCGGAUUCACUGGGCGUACAGGGUGUGUAGGCGGUUUGGUAAGCCUUCUGUUAAAGCUUCGGGCCCAACCCGGAAAGCGCAGAGGGUACUGCCAGGCUAGAGGGUGGGAGAGGAGCGCGGAAUUCCCGGUGUAGCGGUGAAAUGCGUAGAGAUCGGGAGGAAGGCCGGUGGCGAAGGCGGCGCUCUGGAACAUACCUGACGCUGAGACACGAAAGCGUGGGGAGCAAACAGGAUUAGAUACCCUGGUAGUCCACGCCCUAAACUAUGGAUACUAAGUGUUCGGCGGGUUACCGCCGGUGCCGCAAGCUAANGCAUGNAGUAUCCCGC
This 529-nucleotide ribosomal RNA is filed under the name uncultured Nitrospirota bacterium. RNAcentral describes it as "bacterial SSU rRNA". It matches the Rfam family "Bacterial small subunit ribosomal RNA", at positions 340 to 872 of the family's 1533-position model. Lineage: Bacteria; Pseudomonadati; Nitrospirota. The record is from RNAcentral.